CUAGCAUAUCAUAGCGGAGGAAAAGAAACUAACAAGGAUUCCCCUAGUAACUGCGAGUGAAGCGGGAAAAGCUCAAAUUUAAAAUCUGGCAGUCUUUGGCUGUCCGAAUUGUAUUCUGGAGAAGCGUUUUCCGCGCUGGACCGUGUACAAGUCUCUUGGAAUAGAGCGUCAUAGAGGGUGAGAAUCCCGUCUUUGACACGGACUACCAGUGCUUUGUGAUGCGCUCUCAAAGAGUCGAGUUGUUUGGGAAUGCAGCUCAAAAUGGGUGGUGAAUUCCAUCUAAAGCUAAAUAUUGGCGAGAGACCGAUAGCGAACAAGUACCGUGAGGGAAAGAUGAAAAGCACUUUGGAAAGAGAGUUAAACAGUACGUGAAAUUGCUGAAAGGGAAACGCUUGAAGUCAGUCGCGUCAUUCAGAACUCAGCCUGGCUUUUGCCUGGUGUACUUUCUGGUUGACGGGCCAGCAUCAGUUUUGACCGCUGGAAAAAGGCCAUGGGAAUGUGGCACCUUCGGGUGUGUUAUAGCCCGUGGUCAUAUACAGCGGUUGGGACUGAGGACCGCAGCACGCCUUUAUGGUUGGGGUUCGCCCACAUUCGUGCUUAGGAUGCUGGCGUAAUGGCUUUAAACGACCCGUCUUGAAACACGGACCAAGGAGUCUAACAUGCCUGCGAGUGUUUGGGUGGAAAACCCGAGCGCACAAUGAAAGUGAAAGUUGGGAUCCCUGUCGUGGGGAGCACCGACGCCCGGACCAGACCUUUUGUGACGGAUCCGCGGUAGAGCAUGUAUGUUGGGACCCGAAAGAUGGUGAACUAUGCCUGAAUAGGGUGAAGCCAGAGGAAACUCUGGUGGAGGCUCGUAGCGAUUCUGACGUGCAAAUCGAUCGUCAAAUUUGGGUAUAGGGGCGAA
RNAcentral lists this ribosomal RNA (904 nucleotides) under Panus sp. 'velutinus var. glabrior'. RNAcentral describes it as "LSU rRNA". It matches the Rfam family "Eukaryotic large subunit ribosomal RNA", at positions 34 to 927 of the family's 3401-position model. Lineage: Eukaryota; Fungi; Basidiomycota; Agaricomycetes; Polyporales; Panaceae. The record is from RNAcentral.